RNAcentral lists this long non-coding RNA (1504 nucleotides) under Felis catus (domestic cat). RNAcentral's name for it is "lncRNA (ENSFCAG00000052386.1)". Lineage: Eukaryota; Metazoa; Chordata; Mammalia; Carnivora; Felidae. The record is from RNAcentral.
AUGUUCUCUCCCCACCUUUGGAGAUGCGCUUCUCCCGUGUGGAGCACAAGCCCCGAGGGCCCGCCCGGCUGUUGCCCCUCCGCAGUGUGGCCUUUGUCUCGCCAGGCGGUUUUCCGCGGCGUGCGAGUGCCGGCUGGCUUACUGAGGGGCCCCUGGGUCGGUGCCCGUCGGGGGCCGUCGUGUUCGUGCGCGGGCUCUGAGCGGAUACGAAAGUCUCACUUCUCUGGGGUGAAUGCCAGGGACGAAUCGGGCAGUUGCCAGGUCACGGCCUGUUUCCCACGCCGUCUGAUGGGCCGUUUCUUCCCUUCGUCCCCGGAUACGGACGUGCGUUCUCGUUUAGAGCGGCCCCUCGGGAUCCCUCCACGUGAAAGUGCCAUCCCAAAGGCCACGUGCAGAAUCCCAGGAGCUGUGGAGACAACAGCACGGCAAACCCUGGAUGACAUGAUGCUCCGUGCUGUCCCGACACCAAGGUCGCACGACAGCGGCGACACCGGGCCUCUGUAACUUUCGGAGAACGACCCAAGUCUGCCCGCAAGCUGCAAAGAGGCCACAGAACAUUUGGAAACAUACCUGGCUCCCUAGGGAUCCGGGCCUGCAUGCCUGGCCUCUUCCCGCUCUGCCUGGGGACCCUCCCUGCCCCAAAAAAGACUCGUCCAUGUUACAAACCCUGGAAACUGAUUUUGAGCUUCUUUAAAAAAAAAUUUUUUUUAAUGUUUAUUUAUUUUUGAGAGAGAGAGCAUAAGCAGGGAGGGCAGCGAGGGAGACACAGAAUCUGAGGCAGACUCCAGGCUCCGGGCUGUCAGCGCAGAGCCCGACGUGGGGCUCGAACUCACGAACCAGGAGACCAUGACCUGAGCCCAAGUCAGACUUGAGCUUACUUAUAAAAAAAGGUUUUUUGCAGAUGUUAUAAAGGAUCUCAAGAUGAGAUCAUCCUGAUCAGGGUAGGUCCCAAACCCAGCGACAAGUGUUCUUCUAAGAGGCAGGAGAAGGGCACUUGACAAUGGAGGCAGAGAUUGGAGGGACAGGCCACCAGCCAAAGAACAAUGGGACCCCAGGAGCUGGAAGAGGCAGGAAGAGCCUUCCCCUGGAGCCUCGGAGGAGGCGUGGCCCACCAACGUGAUUCCCGGGAACCAGGCACAAGGCCCAGCACACGGGAGGAGCUCGUGAAGCCUCUGAAAACCCACUGCAGGUCUGCCUUAAUGUGCUUGCUGACCCACCGGCCACGGCCAUGGCCACGGCCAGCCUGACUGGAAGGCCCCCAGGGCAGCCUGGGGCAAUGGGUGACCCAGACACCUGUGGCCACAAACACCAUCUGGGGCCCUCCACUAUCCCUGGGGCUCCCAGUUCACCCAGAUGGCGAGUCCCUGGGAACCCUGUCCCAACACAAGUUUUCGAAAAAGUUACCUUUUUAUAACCACACACGGGCACGUCCCUAGGCCGCGAGCAGGAGUGAGGCGUCCACACCCACCGCCCCGCGGACGGACCCCGAACACACGACGCUCAG